This 229-nucleotide ribosomal RNA is filed under the name uncultured bacterium. RNAcentral's name for it is "partial 16S ribosomal RNA". It matches the Rfam family "Bacterial small subunit ribosomal RNA", at positions 568 to 796 of the family's 1533-position model. The record is from RNAcentral.
UGCGUAGGCGGUAUCGUGUGUCGGAUGUGAAAUCUUAACUUUCAUGGUUGAAACUGCAUUCGAAACUGCGGAACUAGAGUACGGGAGAGGUGAGCGGAAUUCUUGGUGUAGCGGUGAAAUGCGUAGAUAUCAAGAGGAACGCCGGUGGCGAAGGCGGCUCACUGGAACGAUACUGACGCUGAGGCACGAAAGCGUGGGGAGCGAACAGGAUUAGAUACCCUGGUAGUCC